This is a long non-coding RNA of Pezoporus flaviventris, 804 nucleotides long. RefSeq lists it as uncharacterized. NCBI's taxonomy places the organism in Eukaryota, Metazoa, Chordata, Aves, Psittaciformes, Psittacidae. The transcript has 3 exons. The record is from RefSeq and is a predicted model, not a curated record.
UGAUGCCCAGAUUGCUUUCAUCAACCCUGGUCUGCAAUGCCAGCAGCAGCCUCCAUGCUCGAGUACAAGGCAGGCAAACCGGGCUGGUGUGCUCUGCUGCAUGAAAGGGCUGUGGCUAACACCACCCUUAGAGCUGGAGAUGUGGCCCAAAUGCAGUUCCCAGCAUCGGGGCUCAGAAGUGCUCCAGGCAGAUUAGAGACUGGUGGGAGGAGGGAGGAAAUGAGCAGAGAGUUUUAAAGCAGGCCAUGUAGCACAGAUGGGGUAUGGCUGAGCACAAAGUAUCUUUAAAGAGAUGCAGUUUGAUAAGCUAGCAUGCCCUGUGGCUGCUGGAAAUGCUUUACGGUGGGGUAGAUAAGGUGGCUGCAGCAUCAGAGGAGCUAGGCAGCAACGUGCAGCUGUGAGAAAAGGAUGAAGAUGGCUGUAAAACAUCAUCUUGCUGCUGCUGGAGGACCAGGAGCAGUCUGGGACUCAAUGGACAAGGUCAACAGUACUGUGGCAUGUGUCCUGCUUUCCCCUCAUCAUAGGCUGGGGAGAGAUGGGCAGUAGCCGCCCCCUCCAUGGAAGGUCAGGGAUGCCCAUGAAGAAGCAGAUGCACCAGACCACUUGCAUGUAAAAUCCUCUUCCUUCCCUGUGUGGGGAGCUCAGAAGUGAGCAGGCUCAUCUGUCACUACAUCCCUUGAAAGCAGUAAUGUCAUCACCCUAACCAUGGAACUGCUUCAAAAGACCCUGGGAGUGCAUGCAAGGGUUCAUUUGGUCAAAAAAAGGAAGUUUUUUGAAUCACUUCUUUCCCAUGUUAGAAUGGAU